RNAcentral lists this ribosomal RNA (253 nucleotides) under uncultured bacterium. Its description in RNAcentral is "partial 16S ribosomal RNA". It matches the Rfam family "Bacterial small subunit ribosomal RNA", at positions 524 to 776 of the family's 1533-position model. The record is from RNAcentral.
UACGUAGGGUGCAAGCGUUAAUCGGAAUUACUGGGCGUAAAGCGUGCGUAGACGGUAGCGUAAGUCAGAUGUGAAAGCCCCGGGCUCAACCUGGGAACUGCAUUUGAGACUGCUCUGCUCGGGUGCGGAAGAGGGAAGCGGAAUUUCCGGUGUAGCGGUGAAAUGCGUAGAUAUCGGAAGGAACACCAGUGGCGAAAGCGGCUUCCUGGUCCGACACCGACGUUCAGGCACGAAAGCGUGGGGAGCAAACAGG